CUUCCCUCGAGCGGGGGAUAACCUUCCGAAAGGAGGGCUAAUACCGCAUAAAACCGCGGUCGUUCCGCCGACAUCGGUCAAAGCUGGCCUCUGCACGCAAGCCAGCACUUGAGGAUGAGCCCGCGGCCCAUCAGCUAGUUGGUAGUGUAACGGACUACCAAGGCUAAGACGGGUAGCUGGUCUGAGAGGAUGAUCAGCCACACUGGAACUGAGACACGGUCCAG
Molecule: ribosomal RNA, 224 nt
Filed under: uncultured bacterium
Lineage: Bacteria
Description: partial 16S ribosomal RNA
Rfam family: Bacterial small subunit ribosomal RNA
Source: RNAcentral